RNAcentral lists this long non-coding RNA (1084 nucleotides) under Populus trichocarpa (black cottonwood). RNAcentral describes it as "long non-coding RNA (PTRI_LNC000949)". Lineage: Eukaryota; Viridiplantae; Streptophyta; Magnoliopsida; Malpighiales; Salicaceae. The record is from RNAcentral.
GGUACAGUGUCAAGGAAGAAAAAUUCUAAAACCCAGCAAUUUCAGUAUCUUUUGGAGUUCUGAAUAGAAAUUAGCAUGAAACACCAGAGCCAGCAUAUUCAUGAAAGAAAAGAAGAAAAUGAAGAACAUAUAAAACUAAAGACGAAAAACUACACAAAUAAUGUCUGACAUGAUUAUUCUCUUAUUUCAUUUCACGACACAAGUUUAAAUGGUUCACGAUUAGAUAGGACAUUAGCAAACAUCUUUAUUUGUAGUAAAAGCUCGAAUUGUUAAUUUCAAGACACCUUUCCUUGAACUAUAAAUGUCAAUUAUGCAAGAUAAGGCACACAAGCCUGCAGAUGGAUGGAGAGCACACAUUGGACUUCACUCCAGUCAAUCCAUCUACUUUCAUUCCAGUAUUUUCUCGUCUAUAAAUGCUUCGUAUCUACUUAUUCCUCAUGCUACCUAGAAAUUUUAAUAGACAGCAAAACAAACAAGCUAAAUAGAAAUGAAGCCAGACACGGACAUACAAAAGACAGAAAAUUUCAUUUACUCUUCGAGUCCUUUCUGAAUUCCGAGGAUAAUUGGACAACAAAAAAGAUUGUCUGGCUCACAUCUCUUGUCUCAGUAAUGGGGAAUCAGCUCUAGUUCAAGCAAGAUUGUCAAGUCAUCAUCAAAUAAACCCAAAAAAAAAAACUUGCCUUGUCUAUUCAGAAGGCCUAUGCUUCUCGAUAAGUAAUUAGUUCAGAGAAAUUUACUGAAAGAAGUUUGGAUGAUAAUCUACCACUUUACAAAUUGAAAAUGGAAGUUGAAAACAUCACAACAGAUUAGCAUUAAAUUAUCCAUAGCAAAACACAACGAAAACCCACAAAUCUUUUUUGACUUCGCACCUAUCUAGUACAAAGAAAUAUGAGUAUGAAAGAAACCCAUGUUUUAUUCAACCAAUUAAGUACAAGAAGUAUCCAAUCAAAGUAAGCGUACUCUAAAAGCUAGCAAAAUCUUGAAUAUGCUAUUAACUGGAUCAUGUUAAGCCCGAAAUACUAGGGAAAAAAAUGAUGAUUAAAAUACUAAAUAAAGGAUUAAGAAAACGAACAAGGAAAAGGGA